ACGGAGGGUGCAAGCGUUGUCCGGAUUUAUUGGGUUUAAAGGGUACGUAGGCUGAUCUAUAAGUCAGUGGUGAAAUCUAGCGGCUUAACCGUUAACGUGCCAUUGAUACUGUAGGUCUUGAGUCCAACUGAGGUGGUUGGAAUGGGUAGUGUAGCGGUGAAAUGCAUAGAUAUUACCCAGAACACCGAUUGCGAAGGCAGAUCACUAAGUUGGAACUGACGCUGAGGUACGAAAGCGUGGGGAGCGAACAGG
RNAcentral lists this ribosomal RNA (252 nucleotides) under uncultured bacterium. RNAcentral describes it as "partial 16S ribosomal RNA". It matches the Rfam family "Bacterial small subunit ribosomal RNA", at positions 525 to 776 of the family's 1533-position model. The record is from RNAcentral.